Small nucleolar RNA from Zingiber officinale, 111 nucleotides. NCBI's taxonomy places the organism in Eukaryota, Viridiplantae, Streptophyta, Magnoliopsida, Zingiberales, Zingiberaceae. The record is from RefSeq and is a predicted model, not a curated record.
AGCCCAUGGUGAGGGCAUUACUGUAAAAAAACUCUUGUAACGAUCUCAUUAUUCAAAUAGAAAUUCUCCAUCCUUUUGCAUGAAAUUAGUGAUUAAGUGUUUUAUAUGGGU